RNAcentral lists this ribosomal RNA (253 nucleotides) under uncultured bacterium. RNAcentral's name for it is "partial 16S ribosomal RNA". It matches the Rfam family "Bacterial small subunit ribosomal RNA", at positions 524 to 776 of the family's 1533-position model. The record is from RNAcentral.
UACGUAGGGUGCUAGCGUUGUUCGGAAUCAUUGGGCGUAAAGCGCGUGUAGGUGGCUAGUUAAGUCGUGUGUGAAAUCCCUGGGCUCAACCGAGGAAGUGCAUGCGAAACUAACUAGCUCGAGUAUGGUAGAGGAUGGUGGAAUGCCGUGUGUAGAGGUGAAAUUCGUAGAUAUACGGCGGAAUACCGGUGGCGAAGGCGGCCAUCUGGACCAUUUCUGACACUGAGACGCGAAAGCGUGGGGAGCAAACAGG